GCAACUGAUUUGCUUAUUGCACACAUGUGUUUUUCUUUGAAACAAACUUGCUUUGGCGGUGGGCCCAGCCUGCCGCCAGAGGUCUAAACUUACAACCAAUUUUUUAUCAACUUGUCACACCAGAUUAUUACUUAAUAGUCAAAACUUUCAACAACGGAUCUCUUGGUUCUCGCAUCGAUGAAGAACGCAGCGAAAUGCGAUACGUAAUAUGAAUUGCAGAUAUUCGUGAAUCAUCGAAUCUUUGAACGCACAUUGCGCCCUCUGGUAUUCCGGAGGGCAUGCCUGUUUGAGCGUCGUUUCUCCCUCAAACCGCUGGGUUUGGUGUUGAGCAAUACGACUUGGGUUUGCUUGAAAGACGGUAGUGGUAAGGCGGGAUCGCUUUGACAAUGGCUUAGGUCUAACCAAAAACAUUGCUUGCGGCGGUAACGUCUACCACGUAUAUCUUCAAACUUUGACCUCAAAUCAGGUAGGACUACCCGCUGAACUUAAGCAUAUCAAA
Molecule: ribosomal RNA, 499 nt
Filed under: Candida albicans
Lineage: Eukaryota; Fungi; Ascomycota; Pichiomycetes; Serinales; Debaryomycetaceae
Description: eukaryotic LSU rRNA
Rfam family: 5.8S ribosomal RNA (bases 143-296)
Source: RNAcentral